AGAGGAUGUGGGCCCCUUGGCUCGUUAGAGAAAUUCAAGGGUAGCAAGAGUCUCAUUGGACUCCAACAAAUUCACAUGCCACAAAAAAAAUGGCAAGUUAAUAUUUAUCCAGAAUAUAAGGUAACUAAUUCAAAUAAAAUAAUAUGAAAUUGUGCUUAAAGAUCAUGAGACAGUAAACAAAAAAUAAUGUAUAUUCAAUUAUAAUAAAGUUGAAAACACAAUUAAUUUCUAUUUACUGUCGAGAAUAUCAGUAACUCUAACAAAGGAUUAAUAUACACUGGAAGUUUAUGACUGCCACACUAUAUAAUGCUAAUUGAUCUAUAACAGUAGAUUAAAAUUUGAAACAAGAAAUACUGUGGAAAAGAAAGAACUUAAUGUCGAAAUUAGCGGGUUAGAGAUUAACAAGCACCAAUAGGAUGAAAUAA
This 425-nucleotide long non-coding RNA is filed under the name Capsicum annuum. RNAcentral's name for it is "long non-coding RNA (CANN_LNC002348)". The record is from RNAcentral. Lineage: Eukaryota; Viridiplantae; Streptophyta; Magnoliopsida; Solanales; Solanaceae.